RNAcentral lists this ribosomal RNA (279 nucleotides) under uncultured bacterium. RNAcentral's name for it is "partial 16S ribosomal RNA". It matches the Rfam family "Bacterial small subunit ribosomal RNA", at positions 506 to 784 of the family's 1533-position model. The record is from RNAcentral.
UGCCAGCCGCCGCGGUAAUACGAAGGGCGCAAGCGUUGUUCGGAAUUAUUGGGCGUAAAGCGCGUGUAGGCGGUUCGUUAAGUCUGAUGUGAAAGCCCGGGGCUCAACCCCGGAAGUGCAUUGGAAACUGGCGAACUUGAGUACGGGAGAGGAAAGUGGUAUUUUUAAAGGAGAGGUGCAAUUCUUAGAUAAUAAAGAGACCAUCAGAGGCGAAGGCAACUAUCUAUGAUAUUACUGACGUUUAAGUACAAAAGCAUGGGGAGCAAACAGGAUUAGAUA